This is a non-coding RNA of Pelobates cultripes (western spadefoot toad), 711 nucleotides long. The record is from the annotation of a GenBank genome assembly. Lineage: Eukaryota; Metazoa; Chordata; Amphibia; Anura; Pelobatidae.
UAUACAUACAAUGGAUCAGAAGAAAUCCCUAUCGGUCCUUAAAAAAUAACAUUCUAUAGUCUGCAUAGGUGAAUUUUGAGAGAAAACAUUAAAGUAGAGUGAAACAAGCACUCUCAUAGCAAAACUGUCCAGAAAGGCCUCAAUCCCAAAUGCUUGGAAUCACAGAAAAGAGUCACUAAGGCAGCGGUCAAACUCAUUUGUUCUAGAUGACCAAACUGUCAACUAAAAUAGUUAUGGCAAAUGGAAAAGAGUCUGAUAGCUUUUCGAAUCUAUUGUACGGCAUGAGUUGUAUGACAAGUAAGAAUCUACCUUUUGGCUAUCUUUGUGAUAGAGUAGGUGGGGCACUGGUUAGAGCCCUUGUAAAGGAGGAUUCAAUUAGCUCAAAAGGAGCAACUGAGACUGUGAAGAACCUUUGGAAGAGCCCAAGCCUGCACAAAAUUUGUAAUAGGAGGCCUAAUUCGAAGCACAUCACUCAUAAAAUGUUUUAUCAAAGGGUCUGAGGCCCAUUGGACAUUAGUAAUGGCUAAAAAGGCCAGCCAAUUGAACCUUUAGAGUACAGAAGUUCAGUCCCUUGUCUAACCCCUUCUGGAGAAACUCCAGCAGAUCUGAUUCAAUUGAAUAUGUUUCCUUCCUCCAUGAUGUUGCUUAUUCACAGUAUGCCUUCCAGACUUUAUAAUAUACUUGAAAUGUAGAUGACUUUUUGGACUUGAG